CCUUUGGGAUCUCAGUCUUAAGUUCUUUUUCCUUUAUAAUUUUAUCUAGCUUUUUAUUAACUUCUAAUAAUAAUAUUAUUAAUGUAUUAUUCUGUUUUAAUAUUAUUUGAUCAGCUUUACCUUGAGGAGUAUAGUUACCUAGUCCUUCUGGAUUGGGUUGAAUUUUUGCUGUUAAUUUUAACACUUCUUCAUAUAUAGGAUCUAAUUCUAUAUGUAUAUCACUCAUGAAAGAGCGAUUUCUUUUAUUGUGUCUAUCUUUUCUUUAAGUGCG
Molecule: long non-coding RNA, 271 nt
Filed under: Nicotiana benthamiana
Lineage: Eukaryota; Viridiplantae; Streptophyta; Magnoliopsida; Solanales; Solanaceae
Description: long non-coding RNA (NBEN_LNC032318)
Source: RNAcentral